GGAAUAUUGGACAAUGGGGGCAACCCUGAUCCAGCCAUGCCGCGUGUGUGAAGAAGGCCUUCGGGUUGUAAAGCACUUUCAGUAGGGAGGAAAGGUAGCGUGUUAAUAGCACGUUACUGUGACGUUACCUACAGAAGAAGGACCGGCUAACUCCGUGCCAGCAGCCGCGGUAAUACGGAGGGUCCGAGCGUUAAUCGGAAUUACUGGGCGUAAAGCGUGCGCAGGCGGUUUGUUAAGCAAGAUGUGAAAGCCCCGGGCUCAACCUGGGAAUUGCAUUUUGAACUGGCAAACUAGAGUCUUGUAGAGGGGGGUAGAAUUCCAGGUGUAGCGGUGAAAUGCGUAGAGAUCUGGAGGAAUACCGGUGGCGAAGGCGGCCCCCUGGACAAAGACUGACGCUCAGGCACGAAAGCGUGGGGAGCAAACAGGAUUAGAUACCCGAG
RNAcentral lists this ribosomal RNA (440 nucleotides) under uncultured Shewanella sp. Its description in RNAcentral is "bacterial SSU rRNA". It matches the Rfam family "Bacterial small subunit ribosomal RNA", at positions 358 to 790 of the family's 1533-position model. Lineage: Bacteria; Pseudomonadati; Pseudomonadota; Gammaproteobacteria; Alteromonadales; Shewanellaceae. The record is from RNAcentral.